AAGGAAGAAAAUUUUCUCCUACUUGCUCUUAAAGUUUUGGCACUAAACACAUCAGAGAUUGAAAGAGAUCAGAUCUCCAAUCCUCUACCUAAGCCGAAUUCACAAAACCAAAAGGAAGAGGCAAAUAUUCAAGGUGCUAGCACACUUCCUUUGGCCGAGAAUUUCAAUGUGGGAAAUCGUAGAGGGGAGUCACUAUUGGGCAAUCCCUUGGUCACGUUUUGCUGCUAGAGAGGAGAUCAAAAAGGUUAUUUUGAUUCGUUCAUUUUGAUCUAGUCUUGCAAACAAUUCAGUAGAGGUAACUCUUGCACCUUUAAUGCCAUUGUUGUAUGCAUCGACGCUUGUUUGUUUUUAUGGCUUAAAAUUAUUUUGUUUUUCCGCUGCACCAAUAUGAUAUUAAGCUCAUAAGAAUCCCAACAGACAACUCCCUCCAUCGAGCUCUUCUUUUAGUAACCAUAGGUUUUACAUGCAGGGACAAAAUAUGAUUUUAAAUAACGGCAGUUACAUUAGUUUAUUUACAGGUUUGGAAGCCUGCCAUGGCCAUUAUGGCCGAUAAAUCACAGGAAAAAUUUGUUGUUGUAACGGCCGAUAUGGUCGUUACGCAAUGAUAACGGCCAUUACUUCUCUUUAUUUCAAAUCACUUCAGCAAUCUGCAGAGAAGUAUUUGUUCAAUCCAGCUCCAGCCUUUGUCACGUGAAAAUGCAUUAUUAAAGGGGAAAAAAGUAAAAAAAAUGAUUUCCCUACUUUUUUUUAGUCUUUUGUCUUUCUUUAUCUUUAGUCUUUACUCUUUCCAUCCAGCACUCUCUCUUGCACUUCUCCAGCACACAGAGAGUUCUUCCAUAGUUUUUUUUCUUCCAUACUUACUUCUGGUCUCCAUUUCACCUUUUCAAGUCACAAACUGCCAUAUUUCUCUUAAAUUUUUUAAGAGCAGCCUAUAUACAUAAAUUUCUACUCAAGCAUCUACCCUAGACGAUCAUUCUGGUGGUAUUAAUUGAGGUAAGUUACUAUAUAUAAUGUUUAAAAUUUAUGAAUUUUAUGUUUAUUUGAUAUAUUUGUACUUAUUAUUAAGUUAUAUAACUUAAUUUUGAUUAUAUCUUUAAAUAUCUUUUAAUUUCAUGAACUUUACAAGUUACAACUUACAAGUUUACUUUAUUAUAAAAUUAAGUUUUAUGCUUUAAGUAUAUUAAAAAUUAUUCUCUUAAAUUAAAAUGAUAGUUUCUUUAAACAACUUAAAUAAUUUUGCAUAAAGUAAAUUUAAAUUUAAGUUAAUUUGCACAUUAAUUUGAUAAUAUAUUUUUUGUUUUACAGUAUAUUAUUUGAUAAUUUGAAAAUGCCGAGAGGGGGAUUUGAUAAACCAAGUUUGGAUGGAAUUUUGCCACUCCUACAGAAAAAAGAGGAGAAAUGACAUGUAAUUUUUGUGGUAAAAAAACAUCUGGGGGAAUAACUCACUUGAAGCAACAUUUGGCAAAUAUACCAGGGCAAGUUGCUAGUUGUGAAAAAGUUUCUGCAUAAGUAAAAAAAGACAUGGGAAAUAUGUUGAGGGGUUUUGAAGCUGCAAAAAAUGAUAAAGCAAAGAGGGCAAGGGAGCUGGAAGACGAAAUCAUGAAGAUGACACUACUUCGGAUGAAGAAGAUAUUGAACUAGACGCGAAAGUAUGCGCUAGUUUGAUGAAGAUGCUUAUAGAAGGAGAGCUUCUCAUUAUGAAAGUGGUGGGAGUAGCUAUCAAGCUCCUCCUCGCCCGAGAAUUAGUCGUUCAACAACUGUUCGUGAGAGAAGUAGAGAAGUAUUAAGAUUUAUCGAGCAAAUAUCAACACCUGCUUCUAGAUUAGCAACAGCUGAAAUUGAAUUAGAAAAUAGCAAAAGUAUAAAGCUACCAAAUGGCUUAAGUCGUAGAAAGAAAAGUUGCUUAAAGCCUUUGGUAAUUUUGUUAUCCACAACAGAUUACUUUUUAGUGUGGUUGAAUCACCAUGGACAAAGCCAUUACUCAGAAUGGCCGCUGAAGUGGGACCUAAUGUAUUACUACCUUCAGCAUAUGAGAUCUUUGAAAUAUAUUUGAAAAAUGAAUACAAAAAAAUGAAGAAAUAUAUUGUUUCAUUUGAGGGCAUGUGGAAUGAGAGAGAAAUUACUAUUAUGUGUGAUGGAUGGAGCGGACCAACCAAAAUGAGUAUAAUUAAUUUUAUGGUCUACUCUCCUCGUGGAACAAUGUUCCAUAAGUCUAUAGAUGCAAGCAAUAUUAAACGAAAAGAUGGAGAAUAUUACUUCAAGAUCAUAAAAGUGGUGGUUGAAGAAAUUGGCCCAAACAAAAUUGUCCAAGUGGUGACUGCUCAUAAAAUUGCUAUUAAAUCUGGUGGCAAAAAGUUGAUGUAGAAGUUCUCAAAUUUGUAUUAUAUAACAUGCAGUGCACAUUGCAUUGAUUUAAUUUUAGAAGAUUUUGGAAAGAGGAAGAAUAUAAAGGUCGUCAUUGAGCAAGGAAAAGUUCACCCAAUUUAUUUACGAUUAUAAUUUGGUGGUGAAUUACAUAAAGAAAUUCAUUGAUGGUCGAGAUAUAAUUCAUUCCAGGAUUACCAGAUUUGCAACUAAUUUUAUUGCAUUAGAGAGUUCUCCGAUGUAGAAGGGGUUAAAAAAAUAUGUUUAAAUCUGAGCAAUGGGUAAAAAGUAAAUAUGGCUAAGUUACCAGUGGACCAGCUUAUGAAGUUAAGAAAAUUGUUCUUAGCUUGGAUAGAGAGGGAAGAAAUUUUUGGGAGAAAGCCAAGCAAAUUAUGAAAAUUCAAAAGCCAUUGCUAAAAGUACUGAGAUUAGUAAAUAGUGAUGAAAAACCAACAAUGGAAUUUAUAUAUGAAGCAAUGGAACAAGCAAAAUUGGUCAUUAAGCAAAAUUCCAGAAGUUGCAUAAACUACUGAAAAAUUAUUGAUACUCGUUGGAAUUUUCAAUUACACCAUAAUUUGCAUGCGGCUGGUAAGAAGCACGUAAACUUAAUAUUUAAUACUUUUAUAAUUUCUAUAUCUUAUAAAUUUUAAUAAUAAUUUUAUAAUUUUCAGGAUAAUUUUUGAACCCUCAAUAUCAUUAUGGUCCACAUGAUAUUAGAAAUGAUAGUAAAAUCAUGAGGGCCUUAAAAAUGUUAUUCAAAGGCUAGAGAGUGAUUUGGUAAAUCAAGGCCAUGCAUUGAACCAAGUAUAUAAUAUAUAUCUAACUUGAGCAAUUUUAAUAAACAAUUUUAGUAUUUGCAUAUAUAAUAAAGCAAAUAAUUUUUUUGGAUCCACAAGCAUACAAUGGAGAGUUUUGGGUCCGUCUUAGCACAAAAAGGCGUUAAAUUCACUGAUCCAGGUAAAAAUAUAAGAUUUACACAUUAUGUUAUAUUUUUAGUGUUCUAAAAUAUAAAAAUCAAAUAUUUUAGAAAAUAACCUAUAUUAUUAAAAUUAUUAUAUAUUUUAAUGCAGCUGAAUGUUGAAUACAUUAUGGUGAAAGUGCUCCUAAACUACAAAAAGAAUUGCAAUAAGAGUGUUGAGCCAAACAACUUCUAUUAGGGAUGUAAACGGAUAGGGUACCCGCAAAAUUGAGGGUACCCAAACCCGAACCCGAUUAUAUAUAAAAUUUCCGAACCCGUCCCAAAUCUGUUUAGUAUUUCAAUUUUAUUACCCGUACCCGUUCCAAAUCCGUUUAACAAUACCCGCAUAAUACCCGAACCCGACCAAAUCUGAUUUUUUUUUAAUUCAAUUCAAUGACAAAAAAUUUAAAGAUUUGGAGAGUUCCAGUCAAAUAGCAAACCUAUGCCCAUCCGAUUGGGGAGAGAGUUCCAGUCAAAUAGCAAACCUUUGCCCAUCCGAUUUGGAGAGUUACAGUAAUCAAAUAGCAAACCUGAAGAGAGUUCCAGUCAAAGGAGAUGUCGCCGAUGCCGAUUGGGGAGAGGCAAGGGCAGUCAGAAGAGAGAAGGAGAUGUCGCCGAUGCCGAUGCCGAUGCCGAUGCCGACCGAGGAGAGGGAAGAGUUGUCUUUAUCGUCGACUGGGGAGAGAAAGGAGACGUCGCCGGUGCCGACUGGGCUGCCGGCACUCGUCAAUGAAGUGGGGGAGAGAGGCAUUAGACUGGAAAGUGGGACUGUGGGAGAUGUGGAGAUGUCACCCACUGGAGAGAGAGGAGAAUACCAGCUUUCCUCACUCGCUGCUUUGACUUGCCUCACAUGCAGGUCGAUCCUAGUUCGUGCUUUCUCUCUUAUUGACUGGAAUCAGGCGACAAAAUGAUAUCGCUUCCCUUUCAUGAGGCGGGGACGCCGCUAGCCCCAUUGGUAACCUUAUGAACCAGAUAUCUCGGGUUCAUUAUCGGAGCACACCGACAGAUCAGGGAACGAAGGAAUUAUGGGAAGGAAAGCGGCGCCGACGGAGAGAGAGAGAAGUAUGGUAAAAUGAAAAAUGGAAUGAGGGAUUAGGGUUAGUUAUAGCUAAUCGGGUUCGGGUAACGGGUAUCCGAUCACCUAAUUCCGAACCCUACCCGAAUCCGAGACGGGUAAAAUUUUUCAAAUCCGAACCCGCCCAAAUCCGUCUUAAUAGGGUUUGGGCGGAUCGGGUACCCGUGAAAACCCACCCGCCUGACAUCCCUAACUUCUAUAUCUAAUUGUGAAAGAAAUUGAAGCACUUUUUCACUUAUACAUACAAAGACGAGGAACAGAUUACGAUAUAAAAAAUUGCAUGCACUCGUCUUUGUUCACUACAAUAUGCGGCUGAAGUUGAGGAAUUUGAGCAGAAAGAAUCAGCAUGAGCUAGAAAAGAAUUAUAAUCUAAUUAAUUUGGAUUACAUUUUCGAAAAAGAUGAUCUACUAAAUCCUUGGUUGGAGGAAAGGGAAAAUCUUGUAUUUGAUGGUGAAGAAAAUCCUUAGCUAGAGGAGUAUGAGGCUGCUCCAUCACAAUCACAAUAAGCUAAUGCUCCAACUCAUGGACAGAGAGGUGGUGAUGCUGAACUUGAAGAUUCUUUUAUACUAUCUAGUUCCAGUGAUGAUGAUGAUAAUGGUGGUGGUGGUAGUGGUCAAGGUGGAAUAAGUGAAGGUCGUAAAGCUACUAGUUUAUUACAAUCACAUCACAUGAUGAUCCCUCUUCAUAUCAGAAGCAUAAUCCAGAUCCAGAUCCAGCUCCAUCUUUGCAAUAUACAUAUCAUAGAUCCUGUGGUUCUAGUGGUAGCGGUGAUAAAGAAAAAGAUGUUACACAUGGAGAGUGUUCUAUGGAUGUAGAUAAUUAUGGACAUGGGACUUAUGGAAGAAACCUCUACUGGUAAUUAUGGAUAUGGAGGAAAUUCUCAAUAGGAUACUCAAAUCCAUAUCCAUAUCCAUAUCAACCUCCACCAUCGUAUUCUGAUUUGUUUUCAUCAGGGCAAUCAUUCUCCCACACCCAAAUCUAGUCCAAUCCUGGUGAUCAAUUUGGUAUGGGUUCAUUCUUUAACUUUGAUCCAUCACAAUAUUAUCAAUAUUAUCAAAAUCAAAACUCUCAAUCACAAGAUGAAGGUGGUAGAUCUACUCAAGAACCUGCUAGACACUCAUUCUAAUGGUAAUUGAGGUAAGUUACUACAUAUAAUAUUUAAAAUUUAU
Molecule: long non-coding RNA, 5567 nt
Filed under: Manihot esculenta (cassava)
Lineage: Eukaryota; Viridiplantae; Streptophyta; Magnoliopsida; Malpighiales; Euphorbiaceae
Description: long non-coding RNA (MESC_LNC011563)
Source: RNAcentral